CCUACGGGGUGCAGCAGUGAGGAAUAUUGGUCAAUGGACGAGAGUCUGAACCAGCCAAGUAGCGUGAAGGAUGACUGCCCUAUGGGUUGUAAACUUCUUUUAUAAAGGAAUAAAACGAGGCACGUGUGCCUUUUUGCAUGUACUUUAUGAAUAAGGAUCGGCUAACUCCGUGCCAGCAGCCGCGGUAAUACGGAGGAUCCGAGCGUUAUCCGGAUUUAUUGGGUUUAAAGGGAGCGUAGAUGGGUUGUUAAGUCAGUUGUGAAAGUUUGCGGCUCAACCGUAAAAUUGCAAUUGAUACUGGCAGUCGUGAGUACAGUUGAGGUAAGCGGAAUUCGUGGUGUAGCGGUGAAAUGCUUAGAUAUCACGAAGAACCCCGAUUGCGAAGGCAGCUUACUAAACUGUGACUGACAUUGAUGCUCGAAAGUGUGGGUAUCAAACAGGAUUAGAUACCUUAGUAGUC
RNAcentral lists this ribosomal RNA (460 nucleotides) under uncultured bacterium. RNAcentral's name for it is "partial 16S ribosomal RNA". It matches the Rfam family "Bacterial small subunit ribosomal RNA", at positions 338 to 795 of the family's 1533-position model. The record is from RNAcentral.